UUGUGGAGGAGGACGCCGAAGGUGGGGCUAAUGACUGGGGUGAAGUCGUAACAAGGUAGCCGUACCGGAAGGUGCGGCUGGAUCACCUCCUAACAGGGAGACAACAAAAUGUUUAAUAUUAUUAUUUUGUCACCUUAGGUCGAUCGGUAUCUCACAUUCUUAAUUUAUUAAGGAUUUCAAUUCCUAAGUUUUUCUAGGUCACACCCAUUAUUUUUCCUGGGCCAUUAGCUCAGGUGGUUAGAGCGCACCCCUGAUAAGGGUGAGGUCCCUGGUUCAAGUCCAGGAUGGCCCAUCUCUCUAUGUUGGGGGUAUAGCUCAGUUGGUAGAGCGCCUGCUUUGCAAGCAGGAUGUCAGCGGUUCGAGUCCGCUUACCUCCACUGAUUACCACCUCUUCCAUAAUCUGUAGAAAGGAAAUGUUUUGAGUUGUGAUCAAAUUCUGAACGAAUCUAGCUUCCUAAUGAAACCAUUAAGAUGCUGGACUCAUUGAAUUAAUUUCAUUGUUUUCAGAGAACCUUGACAACUGCAUAGAUUAUUUUUAAAGACAAUUAGCAUCUUUUAAUGAUGCAGAUUUAUUAUUUGUGUAAAUACACUAAUAACAAUUCUAUUAAGCUGAUGCUUCAAUUUUUGAAGUUAUUGGUCAAGCUACAA
This 648-nucleotide unclassified non-coding RNA is filed under the name uncultured Prochlorococcus sp. Its description in RNAcentral is "partial 16S-23S ribosomal RNA intergenic spacer; may also contain 16S ribosomal RNA and 23S ribosomal RNA". The stretch from base 305 to 377 matches the Rfam family "tRNA". Lineage: Bacteria; Bacillati; Cyanobacteriota; Cyanophyceae; Synechococcales; Prochlorococcaceae. The record is from RNAcentral.